Molecule: non-coding RNA, 45 nt
Organism: Schistosoma curassoni
Lineage: Eukaryota; Metazoa; Platyhelminthes; Trematoda; Strigeidida; Schistosomatidae
Source: Rfam
AUCGAGCUGACGAGUCCAAAAUAGGACGAAAAGCGCCUCCUGGAU